Molecule: long non-coding RNA, 2205 nt
Organism: Balaenoptera ricei (Rice's whale)
Lineage: Eukaryota; Metazoa; Chordata; Mammalia; Artiodactyla; Balaenopteridae
Exons: 3
Source: RefSeq, a predicted model, not a curated record
AUGGGAAGGAGAGAUGGAGGCUGAGGGCCUCGCCAGGACCACUCCCAUCUGCCUUCACCUGUGAGUCUGGGAAGGUCAGACACACGGCAAAGAUCCCAGCUCCUUCCUCUCCUCACAUCCAGCGUUUAAGUGUAUCUGAAAGUUGGCAAAAUGCCAGAGUCCAGUGUAACUCUGCCAAAGAAGAAGUACAGAGCAUAAAAGAUGAGGAUGUCUGGACCUGAGGAUACACUUCGGAUCUGACAAUAUGUGGAAACUUUUUAUUGGUUCCAUACACGAGUUGUCAUGGCUCUAUCAGGCAUUUGUUUCCCACCUUUGGAACAAGAUUAAAAAGCCCUGGUGGUCCUGCUUCUUUCUGUAUGUACAGAACAAACAGCGACUCAUUGUGUGGCUUACGUGUCCGGACAAAAUUUGAAGAGAGAUCAGAUGGGGAAGAGCAACUCCAAGAAGCUCAAUGACUUUCUCAAAGUCACCUGAAAAGCUGGGUUCCAUCCUGAGCUGCCACUGUCCUCACUUCAUCUAAUGGGGCUGAGAAAACUCAUCCACAUUCCAUGGUUUCAACUUCUACAAAAUUAUGCUGGUGACUUCAGCCUGGAUAACCCUGUAAACUUCAGACACGUAUAUCCAACAAUGGCCAACUGGAUGUCUCCUCCUGCUGAUGACAAAGCUCUGGGUUCAUCACCAACACGAUGACUCUUCCUUCUGUAAUCUCUGUCUAUUGACGUCUCCACCUUAAGCCCAGGGACAAAGAUUGUCAGAUUCAAAAAAUAUAUAUAUAUUUAUAAGUUUGCGUCAAAUAUUGCAUGGGACAUCCUUAUACUAAAAAACAUACAUUCCUUGUUUAUCUUACAUGCAGGCAUCACUGGGUGUCUUCUAUCUGACGCGACAGCUCCACUGGAGUGCCCACCUCGAAUUCUCCCUCAUCCUCACGUCCUCAGCAUCAAUCAACUCCUGCUGAUCUCACCUCCUGGAUGUUUCUAGAAAACGCUUCCUCUUGUCUGUCUUCACUCUUACAGCUGCCGCCCCAGUUCAGGCCCCACCAUCUCCAGUGUGGACAAUCGUCUCCAACAUGUUUUUCCUGCUUCUUGCACCGCUGGUUCCUCCAGACUUCUGCCAGAAAGGCCCUUCCCCAUCACAGAGCGACUGAGCCAGGCCCUUUAUCGAAAGCUCUUCAGUGCCUGCCCCCCACCCCGACCCCUGCAGCUGCACACACAUCAGUCACCCACUUUCAAAAACAGACGACAACACGGCCAGGACCCAGUCCAAUUCAGUCAGGACCUUUUGUCGCGGGACCUGCACACUGAUCCGUCUGUAAAGCUCCCUGGGGUGACUCUAACGUGGAACAGAUCUGAUGCUGUACAGACCCCUCCAUCCCCGGGCCUGAAGCCGCCACCAGCCCCUGCCCUGGCUGCCCACUGUUUACACCGCAGGACAGGCUGAACUCUGGUUCUUCCAACUCACGGGCUGGUCCUCCUCCCCAUUCCCUUUCCCUCUGCAUGGAAUGUCCCACCUUCCUCGGACCUCCUAACUUUCAUUCAGGUUUAAAACUCAGCUCAGAGGUCAUUUCUUCUAUGAAAACCUUCCAUGCCACGGACUCCACCACCUGCCCUCGGAUCAGCUCGGGAGAAACCCUUGUUCUGUGCCAUCCACACACACUCUGCUCCCAGCCUGUCCUGCCUUUGACACCAGUGUCUGUGUCUUUGCUCGCUUUUGUGUGUCCGGGACCAGGCAUUGCCUGACAAUGCAUUUGAAUGAAUGAAUGAACAAACAAACAGCAUGGCAGAGCCAAGAUUCUAACCCAGUCUCUUUAACAUUGUCUGGGCAUCCUCAGACAAUGUAGUAAAAGGUGGUUUACCUUCUAAUGAGUUGGGGUUCCACACUUUUGUCUACAAUAGAGAGCAUGGAUGGCUUGCUUUCAGAAGCAUGGACCCGAAGCCAGUCCCCGGACACACCAGGCCCCUUCCCGCCUUCACACCGACGCACACACAGUUUGCCCUCAGCCACAAAUGCCCUUCUCUCUGCCCUCUCUACAGAUGCCCCAGGCAUCCUUCAGCAUUCAGCCAAAAUACUGUCAUCUUGGGGAAGACUUUGAGGUUUCCCCACCCCUCUAAACCGUCACCAGUCCCGUGCUCUCUAUCUCAGUAACAUUUUGUACACACUUUAACCGCAGUCCUAAUCGUUUGGGACUGAGGUUGUUCAAAGGUCUGU